Long non-coding RNA from Neopsephotus bourkii (Bourke's parrot), 1092 nucleotides. RefSeq lists it as uncharacterized. Lineage: Eukaryota; Metazoa; Chordata; Aves; Psittaciformes; Psittacidae. The record is from RefSeq and is a predicted model, not a curated record. The transcript is spliced from 2 exons.
ACCAACAGGGACUCCCUAAUUCCCAUCCAUCAGCUGAUCUGUAGACUGGAGAGUCAAGGAGUGAUCAGCAGGACCCGCUCACCCUUUGAUAGCCCAUAUGCCAGUGCAAAAGUCUAAUGAAGAUUGGAGACUAACAGUUGACUAUCAUGGCCUGAAUGAAGUUACACCACCAUUGAGUGCUGCCAUACCGGACAGGCUAGAAUGACAGUAUGAGCUGGAGUCAAAGGCAACCAAGUGGUAUGCCACGACUGAUAUUGGCAAUGCAUUUUUCUCAAUUCCUUUGGCAGCAGAGUGUAGGCCACAGUUCGCUUUUACUUGGAGGGGUGUCCAGUACACUUGGAACCAACUGCCCCAGGGAAAGAAACACAAGCUUUCUUGGGUGCAGUGGAGUUCUGGAGAAUGCACAUCCCGAAUUACAGUUUGAUUGUAAUCCCUCUCUAGCAUGUGACACAGAAGAAGAAUGAUUAUAAAUGAGGCCCUGAGCAACAACAAGCCUUUUAGCAAAUUAAACAAGAGAUAGUUCAUGCAGGAGCCCUUGGACCAGUCUGGACAGGGCCAGCUGCAAAAAAUGUACCAUACACCGCAGCUGGGGAGAAUGGUCCUACCUGGAGCCUCUGUCAGAAAGCUCCAGGGGAGACUAGAGGCCGACUCCUCGGCUUUCGGAGUCGGGGAUACAGAGAAUCUGAGGCCAGCUAUACCCCAACAGAGAAAGAGAUACUGGCAGCCUAUGAAGGGGUUCGAGCUGCUUCAGAAGUGACUGGCACUGAAGCACAGUUCCUCCUGGCACCCCUGUUGCCCAUGCUGGGCUGGAUGUUCACAGGCAGGGUCUCCUCUACACAUCAUGCAACUGAUGCUACAUGGAGUAAGUGGGCUGCACUAAUUACACAACGAGCUUGAAUAGGAAAUCCCAGUCGUCCAGGCAUUCUAGAAGUCAUCAUGGACUGGCCAGAGGGCAAAGAUUUUGGAAUGUCACCAGAGGAGGAGGUGAUGCAUGCUGAAGAGGCCCCACCAUAUAAUCAGCUGUCAGAAAGUGAAAAGCAAUAUGCCUUGUUUACUGAUGGGUUCUGCCGUAUUGUGGGAAAACAUCGGAGA